ACAGGUGGGGGUUGGGAUUCAUAAUGACUCAUUUAAAAGUAUCAUUCAGCUCUUUGAUAAACACUGUUGAGUCUGAAACUAGAGGUCAAGUUAUUCAACAACAUAUAUCAUCUUGCAUAUCAAUUACAUCUACUUCUAAGUUAGUUCAAAAGUGUUGAGAAUAUGGUAAACUUUCAGCAGUAGGUAGCUAUUUAUGUCCAAAUCAGAUGCUUGAAUUAUAGGAGCUAGCAGUCAAAGAAAUCAGUGUGAAAUAAAUGCUUUUUGAGAGUGGCGAAAAUGAGAUAAGAGUUGAAAAAUGUUUGCAUUUGGCAAUAAAACUAUGUUAAUAAGUUUAUUCCUUUUCCCAAUGGUAGAUGAAUAUAUGUGUCUUACAUCAUCAAAUAAAUUUGUGCUCUAUCCGUGGUAUGAGUGUGUGUGUGUAUGUAUAUAUAGAUAUACAUACACAGUUGGCCCUCCAUAUCCAUGGGUUCUGCAUCCACGGAUUCAACCAACCAUAAAUCAAAAAUAUUAGAGGAAAAAAACAGAUUUUUUCCUUGCCAUUAUUCUCUAAACAAUACUGUAAAACAACUCUUCACAUAGAAUUUACAUUGUAUUAGGUAUUAUAAGUAAUCUAGAGAUGAUUUAAAGUAUAUGAGAGGAUAUACAUAAGUUAUAUGCAAAUACUAUGCCAUUUUAUAUAAGUGACUUGAGCAUCUGUGGAUUUUGGUAUCCACGGGGUGUCCUGGAACCAAUCCCCUGCAAAUACUAAGGGAUGACUGUAUAUAAGGGAUGUGUAUAUAUAUAUAUAUAUGUAAGCUGUCAAGAUGAUAUAUAUAUAUACCACCUUUAAAGAUAUAAAGUACAUACAUAUUGUGCCUGAUUUUGUUGGACUGUCAGGAAAUGCUCUGCAAUUAUAUACUGUAGGGAGCCUUUGUUGCAGAAAGAACAAUUAUUUUCUGGAAUACAAAUUUUUGGCAUAAGAAAUUAUGAUUUUUUUCUAUCAAAUUUCAUAAAUUAUACCCUUUUUGGAUACACAAUAAAGAGAUAAUAUUAGAUAGGAUGGAAGAAGGAAUGAGGGCCCUUAAUGUAAAUUGCUCAAUAGCAAAAAGAACUUUUUGCUUGGGAAAAAAGCCAUCUGUAUUUUCAGAAUGAAGCAUAAAUCUCAUUUUUAAUGCUCUAGAUUUGUUGCAACAAGUAAAAACUACUUUAAUUUUCACAAAAGUACCAACUAGUGUCAGUGAAAAAUGAUUGCAAUUCAAGUCUAUGUAUGUAGCUAUCAUGGCAAAGUAAUUUUACAGAACAUAGUGUGUUUUUUUUACUUUGAAGACAUUGGUUUUAAGUUCUAUUUUUCUAGUGUACAGCAUAUUGGUUUAAAACAAACAAAAAGACUCUCAAGCAACAUUCCCAGUAAACCAAGUUGCAAUUAGCUUCCACUCCUGAGAAAUAUUCUAGUAUAUGUUGCUGGCAUUUGAAGAAUUUACACCUUCUGAGGAAACGCAGGAAAAUUCUGUCAAACAAUUAAACUGAUUGGAAUUUCUAAGAAUGUAAAAAACAAAAUGAGAAAAUGUUAGAAAAGAAUGGCAAAUAGCUUUGUAUACAGCUGUGAAUUAGCUUGGAAAAAGUAAAAGAUUUUUUGGACCUUGUAUAAACUUCUUUUUUUUCUUUAAAAGACUAUAAUCCCAAGUCAGGUAAAAAUCUUUAGUACUAAUUUUUUUUUUAAGUACCCAUGCUACAGUUGGAAAAUGUAAUUAAUUAAAUGAUCUCUAAGAUAGCAAAAGAAGGGAACACUUGGUAUUAAUAUUUUUUAAUAAAUGAAGUGGUUAUUAAAUCUGUGAAUUCUAUACAUUUGACAACCAAAUCGGUUAACAUAAAAUAUGGCUACGUUACUGUUAAAUAAUGUAGAAAAUAAUAAGAAGAGAACAAAUACUUAGAUCAAAGGUAAACUAGAAGAAAUUGGCAUUUAUAAGAUUAAAUUAGGAUCAACUCUAAUGACAUCGUUUGAAAGAAAAUUAUCCAGUGCAAGGAAAAGGUAAGGCCCUGCUUUGCUGUAUGUUGCCCUUCCAAGGUAAAUAUAUCUCAAGGAACCAUAAAAAAUUAGAAAAUCUUGGAAUCUCAAGGAUAUAAAAUAAACCUUUAGCUGCUAAAUGAAAGGUUGGCAGUUUGAAUCCACCCAGAGGUUCCUCAGAAGAAAGGAUGGUCAAUCUACUUCUGAAAGAUUAGUCAUUGAAAAACCCGUGGAGUACAGUCCUAAUGUGAAACACAAUGAGCCCCCAUGAAUCAGAACUGACUUGAUGGCAACUGGUUUGGUUUUUUUGUUCUCAUUUAAAAGACUAUGUGUUUGGUAGUCUUUAAGCAAGAGAAAAUACUAUGAGUUACAUGUUUCCUAUGCCAAAUAUUCUUAUGCCAACAUUCCCAAAUAUGGGUUCAUUUUGUUCACAUGCUCUAAUUUACAUAGAAAUUAUAAGCUCAUUAAAGUUAUGCUUCUCAAACUUUUCCACUAAUACACUCCUAAAGAAAGAAUAUAGAGCUCUGAAAGUCUGGGGAAGGGUCAGAGCUAAAGAUAUAGAUUUAGGAAUCUUCAGGAUUAGGUAGUAUUUAAAACAUGAGGUUGAAUUUUUGCCAUUAAAGGUGUAAUUUCCAUCACAUAUAUAAGAAAUGUCACACAGUCAUGAUCCUCACAAUCAACUUGCUUUAUUCAGUUUUUAAAUUUUACUGUAUCACAGUGAUUUUUUCCGUAUUUUAAAGACUUUUCCUUGGCGACUGAUGAUUGAGGCUCUUGAGCUUUGAAAUGAUGUCUACUCAAUGAGUUCAUUCUUUAUUAAUAAGGUGACAAAUGGAUGCCCAUUCACCCAAUCAGAUUUUGACCUUUUUCCAUGAAGAUAAGUAACAAUAUAAGCCUGAAUUCAAAAAGUCUGACUUAGUAAGUGUAUACCUUCCAGUUGAAAAAGUGUUCCAAGUCACUUCCUAUAAAUUAUAAAUUUGGUUAAAAGAUAAAAUAGCUUGACUUUCUUUUUUUUUUUUUUUUUAACAAUAUAUAUCAUUGUUCCUGCUUCAUUGAUCACACUGAGAAAAUUGAGAGGAAAAUAAACUCGAAACAAAAUCAUUCUCAGUGAAUGUGAUAGUGGCUGCCAGGGCAUAUAGGGAGCAUGUCAGCAAUCCUGCUGAUCUGCCUGUUUUAUAUAUAUAUAUGUAUCAAUAUCUUUAACAAAAUUUUCCAAAAUGAGGUGCAAAUUUUUGUUAAGAAAUUAUAAGCACUUCUCUGAUAAAAUAUUAAUCUUUGUUACAUAUUCUAUACCAACCACAAAUAUUUUUCUUAAAAUUUUAUUUCCUUUUAAUUUCACCAUAAAUAAAUGUCAAACCUGUGUAGACAUUUGUUUUACUUUCGAGAUGAUUGCCUUUGCAUUUUUGCUUUAAAAUAAAUUCCUUACACAUUAGAGAUAGUUAACUUUCACCUGUGUUGCUUAUUUUUGAAAGAAGUUCUUUUAAAAAAUGUAAUUGUAUAAUCCAUUGACAAUGUUUAAUUCCCUCAUAAUUUAUUUGCGUGUAUAGUGUAAAGUGACUCAAGUAGUCAAUCAUUCAAUCCACUUGGUGAAUAAUCAUCACUUCUAUAUGGUUUUAUGAUGAUCUUUUUUAUUGUUUAUUAUCUUCCUUUUUAAAAUAAGUAUAUUUCAGAGUUAUCAAUUCCAUUUCUUUGACAUUGCACCCAACAGUACUGUUUGCAUUAUUUUAACCAUAUAAUUUAUUAUAAUUACUAGAAGAGCAAAUUUUCUGGCCAGGUUUUCUUUUUCAAACACUUCUUAAUUUGCUCUAUUGUUUUCAGGCAGUUAGUGUCAUAUGAGGACAACUUGAUUUUGAUCAUGGCAAAUAAUCUGCUUUACCUCCCUGUUUAUAUCUUUUUCUUGAGAACUUUUUUUAAAAUCAUACUUAUUUUUUCAUUAAUUUGCCAGUCACAUUAAAAAUAUGUUUAAUGUAUACUUAAACAUUUUUUAACUCAAAAAGGUUAUUAUUACGAAUGUUCAUGUCUUUGAAGAUUGUUUCAGUUCUAUUUUUCAUCUUCAGUAAAUCUCACUUUACCAUAAAAUUGUUCUUCCCCAUUUUUCAUAUCUAUCAUUUUCAUCUCAAAAUUUCCCUCCAUCUUUUUCCUCUGUAUUCUUAGAAAUUGCAGAAUUUUCCAUCUCCAUUGUUGGUAUAAUUUUUUGCAGUGUUAAUUCUGCUCUUUUCUUUCUCUAAUAAAGAUUUUAAUUCUGUUGUUAUGUAUAGAGUUUCUCUGCAUCAUUUUCUUACCUUUGCCAGUCUUAUGUACAUCGAACUAUAUAAGCCCUUUUAAAAAAAAAUUGAAUCUUCCAUUUCUGGCCAUAUAAAUUCCAAGUCUUCUUUCAUUGAGAAGGUAAAACAAGUGCAUUCCUGGUAAAAAUUUACUAGAAAUUAACAUUUCUUACAAAAAUCAUGUUUUUCAUAGAUAUGCUCUUUCUUUGUACCCUUAAAGCACUGAUUUUUCUCUUGUAGUUUGCAGACUCUUUUUAUAGGACCCCAGUUUUUAUAUAUACUUCUAACAGUUUUUUUAAACCUUCAAACCUUCCAAACUGACAAAUUUCAAGCUGACAAACAUACUCUCUCGCCUAAAAUUGUUUUUGAAAGAUACACGUGUCAAAUGUUUUCUAUUCUAUGUUCCUCUAAUUGUUGUUGUUGUGUACCAUUGAGUUGAUUCCGAUGCAUAGCAACCCUAUAGGAUAUAGUAGAACUGCCCCAUAGUUUCCUAGGCUGAAAUCUUUAAGGAGCACAUCCAUAGGCCUUUUCUCCCACAGAGCAGCUGUUGAGUUCACCGACCUUUCAUUUAGCAGCCAAAUGCUUAUAUUGUACUACCAGGGCUCCUUUCUAAUUAUAAAAAGGUGCAUUUAUUCAUGAGAAUUUCAGAAUAGUUUGUUCUUCUUCUUUUACUCAAAUGUGGGCCUGUAUCUAUAUUUCUUUAGAAGAGUGAAUCAUUCCUUGUGUUCUUUUUAAUCUCUAGUCACUUCUAAACUUUUAAUCAGCAAGUAAAAUCUAUCAUUUUCUUGAGCUGGACUUACUGUCUUCCUAGAAGCUUAUGGUGGCAGGAGGAGAUGGGUGUGAAAGGGAUGUGAUUGGCCUUGGUGGCCCCAGAAAACAGUUCCCAUAAAGUAGACUGAUGGUUACAAGGGUUGGGAAGGAGCAGCGCAGGCCAAAACCUUUUAGAAAGGAGGAGUUAGUGGGGGAUUUCUUAACACUCAUCCUUUCUCUAGAUCUAGGAAUGUAUUAGCGUCUAAUCUUCAUCCAGGUGAUCUGUGAAGUAUUUAAGGGAUAAUUAUUACUAAUCGAGGCAAGCUCAUUGAUUGAUAUCCUCAUUUUCCAGUGCUAGUAGGACUUGAUUUCUUCUGUAUUUUCAUGAAUGUUUCAGUAGAAAAGUGUUAAUCAAGUAUGUACUUAACUACCAGGUUAGUCCAGAGUCUUCCUUUUAAUAGACUGUAUUUUAAAAUUUAAAUUUCAGCCAUAUUAAAUGGUAUUUUUUCUUGUUUUAGCCAUUGUGACAACAAAGUUUGACAGUGGAAAGAUAAUGAUGUCAAUAUAAAUUAUUUUUAUUUCAUGUGUUCAAGUACUUUGUCUAGAUUUUUAGCUGUGUAUCAUUUCAUUGUCUUUGUAUAUAUUUCUGAUAGUUUUUUAGUCAUUAAAAAUUAGGUUAAACAAAUUAUUUACACUGCCCUAUUCCAUAGUUUCCAUUUGAAAUAUUGCUACCCUGAUAUCUUUGUCUUUAAGUUUCUAAUAUCCAAAAAAUGAAAACAGGUUAAAACAAUUUCAGUAGGUAAAUGAUAAAAUGGGUUGAAAUAGUGCAGCAAACUUUUAUGUAAUACAUAUUUCUGGAUAAUUUUAGAAUGAUUUUUGGUAGUAAUUACUAAUAGCUGCUUUACUUUACAGUAUAAAAUGCUUGCCAUUACUCUAAUUCUUAAUAAAUUAUAAAAGGGUCACUUCUAAUUAAAUGAAAUGUAUUACAAAUAAAAAAUCAUGAUGCAUAUCCUUAAGCCAUAUAUUGUGUGAGAUUUUUAAAAGAUUAAGUUUUUCAAAAUAUGGGUUAAUAUUUUAUUUGUAGAUUUUUUUUAGUUUUAUAAAUUUUCUCAUCUAAUAUUAGGUAGUUUUAAAAUUACUUUUUAACUUCUUUUUUAAAAUUCUAGUAAUUUCCUAACAUUUCAUUUCUGUAAAAUUUCAUCCACUUAGCAAUUUACAAAAAACUAUUGCCACCAAAUCAAUUCUGACUCAUAGUGACCCUAUAUGACAGAGUAGAACUGCCCCACAGAGUUUCCAAGGGACAGCUGGUGGAUUUGAACUGUCAACCUUUUGACUAGUGGUCAUAGGUCUUAACCACUGCACCACCAGGCUCCACUUAGCAAUUUACUCUCCAGUUAUUGCUAACCUAUUCCCAGAUAGCUCGAAAGAACCUGGAAAAAAAUCUGGCUCAUAGUACAAAUUAUUUUUUAAUUAAUAAUUAAUUUCUAUACUUUUUCUUACAUUCCAACAAUUCUUACAUUACAUUGUUACUGAGAAACAACCUUUAAUAUAAAUGAAUGUUCCAGGAAACUAAAGCCUUACCAUUCAGUCACCAUCAAUUUUAUUGUGGUCGCUACUAACCACGAAUUUCAGAUUUUUAAGUAAAAUGGCCUACGCUCUUCUGUUACCUGUAUCAGUUAGAUGAACACUUUAUUAAGCAUUCUGCUGUUUUUUAAAUAAAUAGUAUAACAUAUAACUUUGCAACCUACAUGAAAAGUGACAAAUUUAUCUCUUUACUGUUUGUUAUCUGUGACCAAGCUAGUUGUUGAAGUCCUGACUAGCUUCAAAGUCCAGGAUUUUCGGAGUACAAAGCUGUCUUUUAUAACUAGUUUGUUUCCAUAGAGGAAAAAAAGAAUCCAAAGUACUACAUUAAUUUUCAUUGUUGCAUUAGAAGUAGCUUUUCUCUGGUCCUUCUCAUCUGUACUUCAUUAAGUCACAUUCUGUGUUAUAAUGUUUUGCAAAUUUGGAAAUGCAGAAACAGUUCAAGAAAUUGAUUCUAUUUGUUCUUUCUGUUCAACAGACCUUUGAUCUGAAAUGUUCGAUGGCGCCUGGCUGUUCCAUGCAAGCCACUUUUAAACCAUUGUUCGCAUUGUAAUAACCUUGUUAUCAGGUUGUAUGAAUUAAUUCCAUCACAUUAGGAGGAGGAAGUUUUGCUCACACAGCACAGCCUAAUAACCGUCUCGUGUUACUGGCCAGUUGAUUGGGUAAUAAGACGACACACCACGUUUAUAAUUCAACUGUUUUGCAAGGUGGUCUUAAUUUCAGAAUUUCAUGAUGACAGUAAUAAUUUUUUAUUUCCCCAGGACACCUUGCCCAACAGGCUCUGGGAACUAACAAAGUAUAACUAAAAAACGUCACAAAUUAAGCAGGCCACCACUUUUGGUAAAAUUCCUGAAUCAAGAAGAAAACACAAAGGAAACCCUUCUGCAUAAUGAAACCACCACCCAGACACAAAAGCAGAAACCACCCACAGACUAAAAGGCUGAAUCUCUAGGAGGGAAAAAAACAACUUGGGAGAAGGAUCAAACUUCUUCAAGCUGCUACUAUCAAACUCUGGGCAGAGAGUAGCUACUGAUUUCAACUGUUAGAAAGAGGGAGGAGAGCCCAGAGACCCCACAGUCUGACCACAUCGUCACUGAACUCUUGAGAUACAGUUGGCAAGGGAAAAUGUAAAGAAACAGGUGUUCAGUUGUCCAUACAUGAAACCUGGGACCAGGGCACAAGGAUGGCAACACAAAUAUAUACAAGGUACAGAAGGUGUUAACAUACAUGUGUGAAAUGGGCCAGGCACACCUGAGAAACUGGGAGCAUUUGCCCUGGUUACCAAGUACCACCCAGUGGUCAUCCAUACAGAAAAGAAGACUCAGUUUUGUCAGAAUUUUCAAAAACAAACAAACAUAAAUCUCAAUUUUAUAGUGACGUCUACCGGCGCCGUGGUUAAGAGCUUGGCUGCUAACCAAAAGAUCAACAGUUUGAAUCCACCAGCCACUCCUUGGAAACUCUAUGGGGCAGUUCUACUCUGCCCUAUAGGGUCGCUAUGAGUCGGAAUCAACUCAACAGCAAUGGAUUUUAUUAUAAAAAAUUUAACCCUGUGGAAGCAGCAGAAAGUUUGUAUAUGAGCAUGCCAUCCCAAGGGCUGCCAGUCGGAAAUGACUUGAUGGCAACAGUUUUUUUUUUUUUUUUUAUACAGACACUGAGCUAAAAGACCAUUGGAAAAAAUAUGAAAAAUGAAAGGAUAUAUAUAAGUAUAUAAGUAUAUAUAAGUACUCAUAGUUAUGAUAAUGAUAAUAGAACUAACAGAGUCAACCCAACAGACUGGAGCCAUUCCAAGACUUUGACCACUUAAAAUAGUGUUCUAGAUAAAUGGGCUAAAAGAAUUUCAUCAGGGAGGUGACCAACAUUAAGCUAGAACUUGUAAAUCUGAAAUUAAGAAUUACACAUUCCAAAUCAGUGGAGCAAAAUAAGACAAGUAACAAGGAUCUACAAAAAGUGGUCCUGACUCUUUCAAAAUAGGCUCAGGUUAUUUCUUUCCUUCAAGAUUCCCUGGGCAUAAAAAAGGCAAAUUUCUAACCUAAGAGUGAUUAAUUUCACUGAAUGUACAGUCCACAUGUCCCUAAUUCUUACUUUAUCCUUUUGUUUUUUUAGAGCUAAUGUACACUGAGUUUCAUUUAACAAAGUUAUUGUAAUAAACUUUUGGAAAAAAACAGUACAUACUUCUCAAAUUAGAUUUUCAAAGAUUGAUUCAGAGAUAUAUCAUGCUGAUGACAUAAAGCAAUCUUGUAAGAAGAUCUCUUAAAGGCAUCAAAAAAACACGUGCAGAUGAAAUUAAGCACAUAUAUAUUCAUCCGAUGGUUACUUAUGAAAAAAAUUUUAAAGUUGUUUCAAUACCUCUACACUUGGGACUUUUACUUGUAAACCCAAUACUAAUUGAGAAAAGGAAAGAACUGUGGGAACUUAAUUCAGCCAGUAUACUUUUCACUAUAUAUACAUUUUUCAAAAUUGCAAAGGGCAUUUUUAAAGCAUAAAGAAAAUGAAAAAAAUAUAAGCAUACAAAAAUCUGGUUAAGUUUUAUAAACACUUAAACUAUCAAUGGAAAAUCCAUAUAUAUAUAUAUAUAUAUAUAUAUAUAAAAUUAUAUGUAGCUAAAUAGCUGAAUAAAUCAAGUAGUUAAUUAUGAGCCAAAUAACUGAAUAAAUACCACCAAACUUGUAUUUUAUGCAUGUGUGCUUUAGUAAUAGUUUUUAUUUUCAAAUAACUACUUGGAUCCGGUGUAUAAUUGGUUUGAUUAGAAAUAUCUUUAAGGAUGAAAAUGUAAAAUACAUUGCAUCAAAUACUAUGGUGUAAUGGCUUUUAAAUUUUUUAGAGUUGCCAUUGACUUGUUUGCAUUCACUUUUUAAUUUAGAAAACACAAAAUUUUUGAGGAGAGUAUUCAUAUUUUUUUUAAUUGGGGAAAUAAAUUUCCAAUUUUAAUAUAGUAUCAGUUUAUUGUACUUCAAAUUUCCAAAGCUCAAGCAUUUCAAAACUCUGAAAGACUAUAUUUAGAGUGAAAUUUACAUAUUGCAUAGAGAUGGAAUCAGUCCAUGAAUAUAUGUUGGUAUCAUUCUUGCCAGUCCUAAUAAAAUUCUAUCUUUAGAGUGUUUGAGUAAGACUUUAGUUUUACGUGAAAACUGAAACAUCAAACCAUUAUAUACCCUUUAAAUGUAGAUAAAAUAAUUUUACUUCCACACAAUAUUUUUAAAUGUUGACUUCAGUAAAACUUAAAAAAUUUUCUGAGAUCUGAAAUGAAAAUUCAUGAUGCACAAAAUUAUGAAGGAAAAAAAUGUCUACUCCAAAUAUUCCAUAACUUUUUUGAACAAAAUCUCAGUGUUUUGAUUUAAUCUUUCUCAUUUACAUUUACAUUUGCCAAGUAUAUGUGAGUAUACAAAGUGCUUUCCCAUAUAAUGCAACAUUUAACCUAUACAAUAGUCUUUCGUGAAAGGUGAUCUUACUAUACUUUUAAUGCUUAAGAGUCUCCUGGAGGUAGACACAUCCUCAUCAUGACGUAACUAGAAAAAUGGUAGAACUAAAGUCUGAAGCCCAGGUUUCCUGACUCCAGUCCAGAGUGUUCUAAUAGACCAUGCAUGAUAUGUUGUGCCAACUUCUGAUUAGAUUUCUGUUUCCCACCACCAAUUUACCCACAUACAAUAUGUGAGGGCAAUGCAAAUGUGACCACUUAACAUUUUUGAAUUGCUCUUUUUAAUUUGACCAUUUAUUAGAUUUUACUGGAUUCCUAGCUUUAAGCAUAGAAAACUAGAAUGUGAAAUCAUGUUCUUGUGUGUGUGUGUGUCUGCAUGUGAGUACACAAACGCACACACACACGUAUACAUAUAACAAAUUUCUACAGAAGUAAAUGUAUUACUUCCUUUUAAUUUCUUUAAAAGGAACAUUGCUAUAGUUAUGAGAAGACUAUAGAAAAAAUGGGAAUCUCAACAACUGGGCAAGAAUCAAGGUUUUAGUAAAAUGGAAAUGGAUAGGCAAGGAAGACAUAAGUUUAUGUAUAGGGAUAGAUAGACAGGUAGAUAGGCAGGUAGGUAUAUAGAUAGAUACAGUCAGCUGUGUGGAACCCAGUCUAGACUGUAAAUGUAUAAUUCCUAUGGGUCUAAGUUCUAGAGGUGGAAUGGCUUGACCAGGUUUUAUGAGAAAGGAAUACUAAACUGAAUAAGUGUGUAAUUCUGUUACUUAAAUUGGCAUGAAUCUACUCCAUAUUACUACAGUUCCCUGGCCUUGUAUGUUUACAUGGACUAUUUUUGUCUAACGUUGAUAUAAAAUUUGCCGAGUAACAAUAUAAAUUAUAUUAGCCUCAGGAGGGAAGUCUGCUGUUGACUUCGAUGGAAAAUGUACCCACAAAGACAUUGGAAUAGAUUAGACUUAAUCUAAUUAUCUAGCCUUGGAGUUAUUUACAACAAGUGUUUUCUUCCUUUCUCAAAAUCCAUUUUGUCUUCUGCUUGAUUUAACUGUAGACUUGAAAUCGCAUUUUAUGACACCAGCCUGUCACCCUGAAAAUAACUGAUACCACAGAUGUGGCACUGAAAGUUCAAUUCAGAAACAAAGGGGAACCUAGGAUGGGCUCUCAUGGGCUUCUGAUCUUGUCUGAAGAAUUGUCUCUGGCUUCUGCCUUGUGGGUCUCUCUAAGGGAGGUUAACUUAACCACAGACUUAGCUCACUCCUCGGAGGCUACUUCUUCUGUGCCAAGUGGAGGAUGCUUAGUUCCCUGGUCCUUCAGAUUGACUUUCUGAUCUUUCAGACUUUGGGAGACUGUGUCAAAGUUAUUAUUGGAAAGAUUAUCUCCUCAAGUUCCUGGCAUUCCCUAAUAGCUCUAGGACCUUUGCGCACACUGUACGAAUGCUCUUUGCAUUUGAUGAGAGGCACAAAGAACCAGGCCCAGCACAAGCCCACAUGGGAUAAAGUGCCACGUGAUUCAAUAGUACAUACAUUUGCCUUGGAUGGUGACAGGUGUCACUUUGGUCCACAGGCCCUGGGGAUAGCGUCACUCAUAUGCUCAUACGUAUGCACACUCAAUUAAAUCUUGCGUGCAUCCUACACCUCCUAACUGCAGACCAACCAAAUUUCCUUUGGAGUCACGCACACAAUAUGCAGAAUGGUUAUGCAGGCAAAAUCCAUGGCAACAGCACAUACAGCUUGUUGAUUUUAUUUGAAAAAUAAGUUUACAUUUUUUUGGCUUUAACUUUUUAAAAGAUACGAUUUUUUAGAUUCAAUUCAAAUGUGAAAAAAAUAGUGCUGUACAAUUUUUGAGCAGUAUCUUAUCUUGGGCCUUUAUGAAUAACGCAAAGGCUAUUCAAUCUUCCCUUUAGAAAUCUUAGAGGUAUUUUUUUAUGCUGUGUACAUUUUAAUCCACAAGAAUAUUUUCUUCUCAUUCCCCUAGAUACCUUGGGACUUUUUUUUUUUCUUUGCAGAUACCUCAGAGGACUGUUUAAGAUCCUAUUCACUUCAUCCUCUCUUACCUUCACCUGAAGGGCAAAAUACCUAAAAUCUUGACACAAAUACUGAUAAAUAUAUGGAAUUAUUAAAGGUGCCAUCUCAGCAGAAGAAGAUUGCUGCUGCCUUUGUUCUUGGGGGAAUACAUACAUCACCUAGUAGCAAGACACCCAACUGCUACAGUCAGAAUUCUCUGAAAUGCCUUUAAGCUAAUCAUCUUUGAACAGAAGCCUUUGUUGUUGAAUAAGGGACCUUCUAGAUGCAAGGCACAGAAACCCUCUUUUAUUAUUAUUAUUUUGUUUUUUUCUCUACCUUGCACAAAACAGCAUCAAACCUGUCACCACCGACAGUAAGGUUCAGUGCUCUGUCAGCAUUCACCCCGAUGAAGACAGUGAGAGAAAUCCUAGCUCUGGAGAGUUCAGGAGAGAACUAGUGUGUUUGCAAAAGAGCAUUUUUAUAUGUUUUCUUGUGACAGCACUAGUUUAACAGAAAAUAGUUGGAGUGUGCCAAAAAAGGAAAAAAAAAAAAUGAAAGACAGUAGUAGUAAGUUAGGCUAGCAUGACAUGAUGGAUCUGAGCUAUGACAAACCGAAUUGGAAAAAAGCUUCCCUGGGGACCAACUAUACCAGGUUUGCUGAAUUGUAUUUCUUGAUUUCUUACUGUGCAACAGUGCUUUUUACUGUUAGAUUGACUAGGCUUCAGAAUAUUUUUAAAAUUGUACAAAUCAAAAUCCAUGUAGCUUAAAAAUGAAGGAUGUAAAAGGUUUAGGAGUUUGAUGUAUUGAAAGGCAUUCUGUAUUCCCUCAUGUGAGUAUUAAAUAUACACUUUGUCUGUUUAAUGAAUUUCAAAUCUUUGUGGAAGGCAGUACACACCAUAGCAGUUUACAGGGCUGAAAAUCCUGGGUGGAAAGAAGGACAUCAGCUGCAGAGAUUCAAAGCUUCUUCCUUCUUAUCCCACCCAGAUGUGCCCAAGAAUUAAAACAUGCAACAUCUACAGGAUCUCACUUGGUCCAAGAUGUUUCUAUAAAAUCCAAGAAAAGAAACUUUAAAUCUAGUGGCCUCUUAACAAAGGUGUGAUGCAUUGUUCUUAUUCCUUAUCCUUUUAAUUCUUACAUAGAGGUUCUCACACACACCUGAAGAUGAAGUUAAAAGAAAAAAAGUGAGGCAGAAGAUGAGAAAGGAGAAUUAUUUCAGCAGCCACUAAAUUUGUCUAGUUUGCAUAUCCCACAUGACACCAAAUAGUCUGAUUCUUGAAAAUAGUCAUCUAUAAUAAGCUUUGAAUAAAUACCUAAGUGAAUGGAACAUGUUAGAACUCAGAUGACUUUAGGUACUUGAGCUACUGAGGCAGAAACAAUUUUGGCCCCUAUGGUCAAAGAGUAGGAGUCCUGGUGGUGCAAUGGUUAAAACUCUCAGCUGUUAACCAAAAAGUUGGCGGUUUGAACCCACCAGCUGCUCUGUGGGAGAAAGAUGUGGUGGCAGUCUGCUUCUGUAAAGAUUUAUAGCCUUGGAAACCCUAUAGGGCAGUUCUACUCUGUUCUAUAAGGUCGCUUUGAGUCAAAAUUGACUUGAAGGCAGUGGGUUUAGUUUGGUUCAAAAAGUUUAUAAUCGAUUUGGAUAAUUUAGGAAAUUGUCAGAGUGCAAUGCAAUAUGUGCCAAGUGAUGACACUCAAAAAAAAAAAAGUAAAAAUGUACUUUUGCUAAAAGUAGAUAGCACCCUAUCUCUUGGGCUCAGUCAACACGGAUCCACGACUUCCCCAUCAACUAUUCACGGUCCAAAAGAAGGAGUAGAGGAAGUGGAUAGUGAAAACGAGUUGGUUGAAGUUUAAUAAAACAGAUCUUCAGAUCUUAGCAUUGAGGAAUGAGAGCUAAAUGAUAAGACACAGUGUCAGAAAACACUAAAGUGGGAGCUACAAACUACAGUCUUAAAUGUAAAGGAAUAAAGUGGUAUGGUUGAAGUACUGAGGAAAAUAGGAAGUGGCAAGGACAAUUGCAAACUAGAGUUUGUCCCACCUGAAAAAAAUGCAGCUGCUAUUCAGCUAUAGCCAAUUGAUGCAUGCAGGAAUAUGGGGGCAGUAUUGUAGUUAAGGGCUCAGCUGCUAACUCAAAGGUUGGUGGCUCAAACCCAUUAGCUACACCGUGGGGGAAGUUGUGGCAGUCUGCUUCCAUAAAGAUUUAUAGCCUCGGAAACCCUAUGGGGCAGCUCUACCCUGUCCUAUAAGGUUGGUAGGAGUCGGAAUCUACUCAUUGGCAAUGGGUUUUUUCGUUUGUUUAUUGCCAAAUCUUCUGGUUUUUCAAGAGAAACCAGAAAGUUCGGUUUUACCAUGAACUCGCUUCAUUUUAAAUAUUAGCAAACAAUUUAAAAAAUUUUACACAUUAUGUUGGCCAAAUAAAAUACACACAAGAGUUGUAUUUUGGUCCAUGUACUUUUUUUUUUUUUUAACCUUUUUUAGGCAUAAUGAGUUAGCAUGUAAUCAUGGAUACAGCGUAUAGAAGAAUCUUUGAGUUUGAGAACGUGGAAGAUAAACUGUUCGGGGUAAUUGUGAGUCAUACAGUUUUAGCAGUAGAUGCUAGAGUGUAGGGCUGAAGAAACAAAAGGUAUUAAGCAGUCAGGGAAAUGGGGGCUAUUAGAGAGGUAAUUAAAGUAGCUGGAUGUUAGCAGGUAACAAGGUAGAGAAGAAGAGCAUCAGCUAGUGUUGUUAUUAUCAUCAAGGAAUAUUGAAGGUUUGUGUGAGAGGCUUUGGAUGACAGAGAUAAGGAAGCACAUAAGAAGUCAUAAAGUUGUCAACAAGAUUAUCAAUGCAGUUACUUGUCAUGCAUGGUCUGGAAGUGGUACUGGGCUGGUCACAACAGACCCAAAGUCUAGGUAAGAAAAACUAGAGAAUUAUUAAAGAGAGCGAGGAAGAAGCUUCAAAUAAAUUUGGCCUUGAGAUUCUAACUGAUUUUCACUCAGUUUGAUGAUUUCUAUUUAAAAACAAAAUCAAUUGGUUAAUUGAAUUCAAUUCAUUCACAAUAAUUUAUUAAAAAUUUACUGUUGGUAAGGUAUUGGAUUAAAUAGUGGAAGCGUGUCUUGGGGGGCGGGAACAGAUAGGAAUGAAGAUAGAUGAGCUAUUCUGUCCUCCAAAAAAAAAAAGCCCAAACCGGUUGCCAUCAGGUCGAUUCCAACUCAUAGCAACCCUAUAAGACAGAGAAGAACUGCCCCAUAGAGUUUCAAAGGAGCACCUGAUGGAUUUGAACUGCCAACCUUUUGGUUAGCAGCCAUAGCUCUUAACCACUAUGCCACCAGGGUUUCCAUUCUGUCCUCUGGUGUUUAAAAUCCAAAGUAACACGCAGGCACACGCUCACUUUUUUUUUUUUGUUUUAAUGCUAAGUGCUAUGACAGAAGGGCUAAGAGUUUUCUAUGGUAGUUCAAAUUCAAAUUAUUGUUUUCAGAUCAUACAGAUUUAUUAUUUUUUAUCAUGUUAUAGUUUUUUCCCUAAUUCAAAAAUAUUACAAUGCAUCAUUAUGUAAGUUCCCUAGGGCUGCCAUAACAAAGUACCAUAAACUGGGUGACUUAAAACAGCAGAAAUUUAUUCCCUCACAGUUCUGGAGGCUAGGAGUCCAAAUUCAGAUUGUCAGCAGGGCCAUGCUCUAGCUGAAGGCUCUAGGGGAAGAGCCUUCCUUGUCUUUAUCAGCUUCCUGUAUAGGGUCUCUAGGAGUCAGAAUUGACUCAAUGGCAGCGGGUUGGGUUUGGUUUUGGUUUGAUAGCCCCAAGAGUGCCUUGGCUUAUGGCAGCAUAUAUCCAAUCUCUGUCUGUCUUCACACGGCCAUGUUCCCUCCCUGUCUGUCUGUAUCUCUUCUCCUUUUAUAAGGAACUAAUAAAUACAUUGGAUUAGGAAAUUUAUAUUGGAUUAGGGCCAACUCUACUCCAGCAUGACUCAUGUUAACUAAUUGCACCCACAGAGGGCCCUAUUUCCAAAUAGGUCACAUUCACAGCUACUAUGAGGAAUAUGUUAGGAAUUCAACAUCUCUUUUUGGGGAACACAAGUCACCCCAUAACAAUUAUUAUCUGAUGGGUUCUCAUCAGAUAUCCCCAGUUGCAAGCCAGUGGGAGCACCUGAGAAGAUGUCCUUUUCUUCCUCUCGCUUCCCUUGUCUCUUUUGCUAAGAUCUGGCUAAAGUAAGCACUCAGCAAAUGUGUGCUGAGUUCAAUGUUUUAAAUAGGCUGAACUGAUUUGAGUCCAAAUUGAUUACGUUUGAAACUUUCCCCCUCUGUGUCUACCCAUUUUAUCAUUGUCCUGCUUGGUUAAGAACACCAAAGCCUUCCACUCUUCUCCUGACUAAGGCUGGAGUUGAGACUAGCUCAAAAAAAGUAAAUUCUUGGUAAAAGACUCCAACAUCUUCAAAAGCUGUAUAUGGCUACUGGACAAUAUUUAACCAGUAAAUUCAGUUAAGUAGAUGGACUUGACACGUUUUACAAUUAUAGAAUAAAAGUAUUUUAGAAACUGGGAAGUUUGUAAACAUUUUUGGAAAGCUGUAACCACCUCUUACAGGAAUGUGCAUCUCUCAGUGGCGCUAAUUGACAGGUGCAGCCAAGAGCUCCCGAAUUAAUCUCAAUGAGUAUAAAUAAAGUUCGACUCUGCUGUCCUAUAAGCACAUGCCAUUCUCAUUUUGAGAUACAGAUGCUUGGGCUUUGCAAUGAUUUACCAAUUUCCUCACGCAUUUGGAGUGAGCACUAGCUUCAGUCCCAUAACUUAGUAUAUUGUAUAAGGGGAAAGUUAAGAUAAAUCUAAUUGCUUUUAUAUGAGUAUUUUUGCUGUUUUUAAAGUUAAGUUCCUUGUUUACCAAUGUAUUUUUCAAUAUGAAAUGCAGGAAUAUGCAAACAUUACUCAAUAAUUAGAUCCAUUUACACCUUGGACAAGGAAAUAAUAGGUAUGCCACCCCUAUUAUUCAUUCACUGUUGGAUUUGUAUCUCUUUGGUUUGGUUUUAUUUAUGUGUAAAUAUGCAUAGUUCAAAACUUGUUAGUAGCAACACUAAUAAUGUCAUUUAUAUGCUUCACCUUGUCCAUUUAAAAUGGAUUGUUCUAUUUAUAGAGUAACAUCCUGUAAAAUUAAAUUAAAAAUUUUAAUAGAAACUCAUAGUCCUUUUAAAAAUUAUUACAAUAGAAAGAGGGUGAUUUUUUUCCACAAAUUAUUCCCAAAGCAACUUUUUAAAAAUCCUUGUUAGUUAUAAAACUUUAAAAUAGUCUUAUUGAUCCUUUAAAAUAAUUAUUUAUGUAAAAUAAUUUAUGGUAGAGUUUUUAAUACUUGAAAAUAUAUUCUUAAAAUAGGAAUGUUACAAGACCAUUAAUUUUAGCAGUGCUAGGCAGCACAACUAUAAUUUAGGAGCUACUGUUGAUUGUUUCCAGAAAUAUAUAUUGACCCCAUUAGUUUUAAGUGAUAAUAUUAUUAAGCCAAAGUAUUAAUCCAACAGUAGCAGAAUUACUGAUUUUAAUCAGUUUUUCCCUUUAAACCCUUUCUUUAGCAUUUGGGUUUUAUUUAGCUUAUCAUACAUAUAAAUCUUUAAAUCAAUUAUCUUAGAACUCGCGUUCUUAAACUUAUCACAUAGCAAAUGCCCAUGGAAGCUCUGGUGCCUACUGUCUUUUGUUUGUUAUAGUCACUUUGUUGUGUAUUUUGGGCCUGAUGGUAUUGAUGCCACUCUCGGACAUUGUCUCAUUCAUCAAAUGGUCACCCAGAGAAGGUGAGGUCCAGAGAAGCCUCCUGGCCAGGAAAUCAUCCAUUAAAUCAUUUAUUCAUCAAGAAAUGUUCUCAAGAAGAGGAAGUAAUUAACAACAAUAGCAGCUAACAUUUAUUGGGUCCUCAUUAUGUGCCACGUAUGGUUCUAAACCCUUCACAUGUAUUCACCUAUUUAAUCCUUACAACAAAUCUAUGAAAAUGGUUUUGUGAAGCCUCUUAGCUGCAUUUGUAACUGUUACAUAUUUAGACAUAUGGCAUGUACAUCUCCACUUACAUUCUUGUCUUGAGCCCCAUAAAUGUUAGGAGUAGGCCUGAUGGAGGCCACCCCCACACAAAUCUAUUUUGUACCAACAAGAGUCUCAUUUGUAUUCAUUUUGGCAGGGGUUAGAUUCAACACUGAUUCUAGAGUUUUAAAGCACCUCAGUGCAUUAAAGACGUCAGGCUUCGUUGCUGAUGGAUAUACUCCAAUAAGCACCUGGCGAAAGGCAGAGGGUGUAAGUUUCUCGGUAUGAUUCAAGGCUCUGAGUGGACUAAAAGUAAUUUAUAUGUUGCAAAUAUUAAGGAUAAAAGGAUAAUGUGAUGGGGUGUUCAUAUUCGGAUCCAGGUUUGGGGAUUUUUUGAUGAAAGUUGCUUAACAACAACAAAAAAAUGUAUACAUAAAAUUAGAGAUAACUGCGAUAUCAAGAAUACAUAUUUGGAGACACACGCAUACACACAGGGAAACUGAGGCACAGGGACAUGUGUAAAUCCCCCAAAUCCACAUGGCAAACGUCAAUUGGAAUCAGUAUUCAAUUCUAGGCAGCUAUUUCAUCUCUCAUGAAAGAUUAAAAAAUACCACUUGAGAAGAAAGGGGAAAAACAGGGUGGGGGUAUGGGGUUGGAGAUCAUUUUCUUCCUGAAAGAAACUUCCUCUCACUAGACUUGGCUUAGAUACACAGUUUGUAUCUCUUUAAUUCAAAGCCCCUGAUUGUUUCCUUAUAGGAUGUUCCUACUUGUCCAUGUUUUGUGGCUCAGGAGAGGGAAGUACUGAAAAAUGACCUCUAAUAUCAAGGAAUUUAGACACUGUUGAGGAGAAAAGAGAUUCGAAAAGGAUAGAAAAGGGCAGUCAUUAUUAAAGGGCAACUAGAAGGUAGGGAAGAAGAUUUCAAGGAAGGGUGGAAUCAUUACAUGAAGAACUAUCUAGAUACAGUUCAGGAGCCAUGUGAAGCUUUAGCUGGUCCUUAAAAAAAAAAAAUCGGCAGGAUUUCGUGAGUGGAGAGGAGGUCCAGAGGAUUUCAGAGGAGGAGAAUAACGGGAGAAAGGAUUCAGGUGGAUAGAGACAGUAUUUGUAGCAGCAUGGCUGCAAUAGAAGGCAAUUUUGGGAAUUAGUGAGAGUUGUGCCAUUAUCCGUUUUUAUUUUAGAACUUAUUUUUGCAUAGAUUUUUAAUUCUAUGUAACCAUCUGGUAAGGCCUGGCACUCUAUGAUUUGUUGCAGUAGUAGUGUUUAUCUAAGGAGCUACGUAUGUCGGCACAGGAAAAUGAAUGCUGGGUUCUGGGAACAAAGGCUGGAAAGGGAUUUCCAAACAACUGCCGCCUUCUACUCGUUUCAACAAGUGUGUGCAUUAAGGAGUGCGCGUCGUUGCCACCACCACAUUUCUGGGCCCCUGGGGCUUGUCAAAGAGGACUUAACCAACACCUCAGUGUUCAGUCCCUCCUGCUUCGAACUACCUUUGUAGUAACUGACCAGCCUUAAGCACCUAUAUCACUUCUCAUCUCUGCUCUCUCAUGCAGAGAACACUUCAUCCCUCCUUCAAAUCAAGGGAUGAGCCCCUGGAGGACAUCGAGUGAGUUCUGAAUUCUCUGGGGAACCACCUCUGACCAUUACUGUUCUUCUUUGUCAAUCACAGAGCACUCCCAGUGACAUCAUUGCUGUUUUCUGUAUUAUGUUGUUGCUGUAAGCAGCAUGAAAUUGACAAGGAAUGGCACAGAGAAGAGCUGAAAGGGCACUUCUGCUUUUUUGAUGCAUCUGACACCUGUAGUUACAAGACAGAAAACAGCUUUCAUAAGCAUAUUGCUGGGUGAUGUAGAAGGUGAAUGAUUAUUUAGAAGUAGCUUUUCAAUGCAAUCGCACGAUAGACUCUAAACUGCUUCUGCGUCCUUCCACCCGAAGAGUAGUUUCCUAAGUAGAAGCAAUCUGGUGGGGUAGUUUCCCAGAAGGCUUUGGCUAAGGAGUUAGGCUUCAGUGCAAACCUCAGAACUGCUUUGGUCUAAGGAGAUGGGGGUCUCGCUCUCUUUGAUUUCAAUAGAAUAUGCCUUUUGUUCUUAACUUCUUUGCUUGCUUGUGUUUCUCCUAUUUGGAUAAUUAUGUUAUAGAUAGAAAAGCUAGUGUCCAAAGUGAAAAAGAAAAAGAUAUCCUGAUGUCUUCUUGGGGAGCCUCUCCUAAGAGUGUCCCAAUAAAUAUGCCUAAAUUCAAUUUAUUAUUACUAUUGUUACAAUAAUGGUAACUCUAACAGGUAAGCAAUAGCAAAUGAGGGGAGUUAACCCCUAAUAAAGUUAGUUAUAUUGAUAACUGCGGUAGUUUUAACACUCAGUUUACAGGCUACAAAAUUGACGACUGAUCACACUGAGAGAUGACAAGUUUCCACACCAUUGAUAGAGCACUGACCCUGAGCAAUCAUACUGAGUCUACAGUAUUCAGUAGUUGAACAUGGUUAACUCUAAAUCGCCACCUUUCUGGAGCAGCCCACAGUGUGGACUCCUUCUUGAUACCUCUCUUCCGAGUGGCUUUUGUGACACUGUCAUUCCGAUCUUUCUCCUGCUGUCCUAUCCGUGAUUUCCCCCUUUUCUUUGUGUUCUCCUUUACCCCUUUAUGCUUGAAAGAACAUUUUUGUCUUUAGCAGCAACGGGGAGCAUUUUCAGGUGACAUUAGUGACUGUCUCUCUCACCAGUACAUCCUUCUGUUUCAGCUUGUUACGGUGAAUUUAAGUUGCAUAGUGAGAAAAACCAUCAUCAGCUUUGCUUACAAGAUAGAAAUAUGAAACAGAAAGAGAAAUGUCCCCCUGUAAUUAUUCACGUAUCUCUUGCACAGUGGCAACUAAGAAAAAUACAGCUUAUGUACCCCAAGGUAGUCCAAAUAUUCAGCAGAGAGCUGGAUUAUUUCACCUACAUCCAGUGAAGUAAUAAUCACAAGGAGUCCCUGAGUGGUGCAAUCAGCACACUCGGCUUCUAACCAAAAGUUUUGGUGUUUGAGUCUACCCAGACAUGCCUCAGAAGAAGGGCCUGGCAAUCUACUUCUGAAAAAUCAGUCAUCGAAAACUGUAUGGAGUACAGUUCUACUCUGACACGCAUGGAGUCAUCAGGAGUUGAAGUUGACUGAUGGGCAACUGGUUUAAUAAUAACAAAUACAAACAACAUCCACAACAAAACAGUAUUACUGAGGACAUAUUAGGUGCCAAGUACUAGGCUACGCAUUUUGCAGACAAUAUCUCAUUUAACCCUAGCCAACAAAUUGACUAUAUUCAGUUGUGAUCUUUCCUUGAUAUAUGAGAAAACGGAGAACUAAUUGUCUAAAAUCAUUCAACUAAUAAUGAUACAGGGAAUUCUAUUAUUUCCCACAGAAGCCCUGCAUUUUAGAUUGGUUUCUCUUGGCAUUGUCUCUCAUAUAGUACAUUCUUGUUUCUGCCUUUUGUUCAGGCCAUUCCUCUGCAUUCUUACAUUCUUUUGUAGAUUGACCUUUGUAAUUCUUAAAUUACAUUAUGCUGGCUUCAUAGGUAUCGUUCUCUCCAAUGGGGGUCCCUUACUCAUCUUGCUAUUCCCUGGCACAUACUGGGUUACCAGUUGCUCAAAAAAAAUCAAAGGUAAUUAGAUUUGAUGUGUUCUCUCUUACUGCCCUUCUGGCUCUAGAUCAUGUCCAGUCCUCAGGUACCUCAUCCACAGGUGUAUUGCUGUGAAGACUCUGGGACUUCAGUCACAGAAUUUCCAUGGGGAAGAAUUAGAAAAAGGUACUGCUAGGAUUACACCUCAAAUGAGCAUAAUUCCUAGUUAGCAUCUUAAAAUACUAAAACUGUGUAUUAUCCUCUUAGUGCACCACGGUAUUGACAGCUCUUUGUUUUACCUUAUCAUUAUAACAUCAUCUCUGAGAAUUUCCACUUAUAUCAUUACAAGAUGAGUAUGACAGCUUCACUAAGCCUCAUUCAUGUGAAUGGAAAAUUAGUGACAUAAAGAAAAUUCCUAAUAAUUAUUUCCCAAGACAUAUUGGGACUUUUCAAACUUAAACUCAUUAAACCAAUUUGAAUCUCACUACAGCAAAUUCACAAAAGCUGAGUGUUCUUAUUAAUAUGUCAGCCUAUGCUACUUUUAGGCAAAGAUUAAAUCAGAAAAUAUAUUCGUAAAAUCCACAUGCCUCAUUAUUUAUAUGGCAAUAGUGCAUAUGGAUCUAAACACUUGGGAAGUAAUUAUCAAAAUAACUCAUAUAGUAAACUAAAUUAUCAAAAUAAUUUAAAUAGUAAACCACACACCAUGCUAGGUGUUUUACAGUCAUAAUCUUAGUCAGCAAGCACAACUGCCCCAGGAGAAUUUUUGUCCCCAUUUUACAGGUUUGGUAAUUGAGUGACCAAGAUGUUAAGUAAUUUACCCAGGGUCACACAAUUAGUAUGUGGCAAGAACCUUUUUGGGACACACUUCUGAUUGACUCUAAAAUCCUUGUUAUUUUAACUUUGCCACAAUGCUGUGUUAAUUCACAAUUCCAGUACUGGGUCUGUCCUUCUACCUUUUUUUUUUUUUUUUU
This is a long non-coding RNA of Trichechus manatus latirostris (Florida manatee), 22482 nucleotides long. RefSeq lists it as uncharacterized. The transcript is spliced from 2 exons. The record is from RefSeq and is a predicted model, not a curated record. NCBI's taxonomy places the organism in Eukaryota, Metazoa, Chordata, Mammalia, Sirenia, Trichechidae.